RNAcentral lists this long non-coding RNA (1760 nucleotides) under Homarus americanus (American lobster). RNAcentral's name for it is "uncharacterized LOC121875485". The record is from RNAcentral. Lineage: Eukaryota; Metazoa; Arthropoda; Malacostraca; Decapoda; Nephropidae.
CCAGGGAGUAUUUAAGAAAAAACUAAUGUAUCCACAGUACCAGUAAAUGUGAGGAAUAUAUCAAAAUAAUACCAAUAAAGAUACAGCAAAAAUACUCUAUUGCCAAACCAGUAAAUAAAAGCUUUAUGGCAGUUUAACACAGUCAACAUACUGUACUCCCUGUUUACCAUAGUUGCUAUGGUCGGUUCCCUACCAACACACCACCACCAGCCAUCCUCCAGCUCCCCCACUGAGCCAGCUAACUCGUGCAUGGCUUGGAUAUCGCUACUCCUGUUGGCAUGGAACGCUGUGGCAACAGCUGCAUCCCCAGCAAACAUCAUCAAAUCCAAAGCUUUAGUUGCCCCACUGAGCAAAGUACUUAUAGUGGAAGAUGUCGUAACUGUCAAGUACCAGCACCAAAGUUUAGUGAUAUAUGCCUGAGGUCAAUAGCUGUCCACAUUGAAACAGCUAUAAGUACACAAGAUCUCAAACAACAGUCUACCAUCUCACUUCAUAACGCCUAUAUGAAGCGUCUACUCAAAUGUGUAUGCACUUGGAGGGAAAGCUGCCCACGACUCCUGAAGACGUCAGGAACAAUGUGCAUUCUCAUAAAAACCGUGGUCUAUUUAAUUUUGUCGAGUUAUUAAGUAACACCCUAUUUGGUACGGCAACUGCAGAAGAUGUAGCUAAACUAGGGAAACGAAUGAACGCAGUUUCAGAAGCAGUCAUGAAACAGAAUAGGGCCAUUGCACAGUCUUAAACAGCAGUAAAAAAAGUAAUCAACUAACAUGCAUGCAACUGAAGCCUCUGUGCAAGCUUUCACUGUUACCAAUGAUCGGCUCAUAGCCGAUUCAGUGAAUGCAGGUCUAGUCAUGUAGAUGCACAACUAUUGCCGGUUGGUCAAUUUAUUGCCGCUUUACAUAUAGCUCACGGUCGCUACCUAAUGAUACUGGACACAGAAAUAGUCCAGGUAUGAAUCCCUGGGAAGGAUCUCAUUUACCUAACAAGAGUAGUGUGCACCUUGGUGCUAACAAUCAGCUGCAGUACCUGUGUAUAUUAUUAUUAGUAGUUUAUAUAUGCACAAAAAUGAAGGUCAGAUUUGAGUCAAACACCAAAAGUACACACGAAAGAAAACUUAUUCUUAUACCAAAAAUGCCAACCCACCAAACUUAACCUAACUUAUAGGGAAAUGAAGAGAAAACACGGGCUUAGUGAGGAGUAUAACCUCAGGUAAACAUGGCCUGCGGACAGUCAAUGGAUUAACCUUCCUUUUGUCAGAAAGUAAAAAUUCACCUAGGAAUCUUUUUCUUGUGUAAUAAACAACAGAAAUAUGGUUAGUUAUCAUGACUUUUGUUAUAGAGGAUAAUAAAUAACACGAUACAGUAUGUCCACCUGUGCUUGACGACUCCACUACCUGUGCUUGAUGACCCCACACCUGUGUUGACGACGACCCAACAUAAUCUACUAAAUUAACCAUUAAAUUCGUUUUAUCUCGCCACAAUAUUAUAUAUAAUAAGCACUUGGCAUUAUAAUUAUUAUAUAUCUGAUAUAAUAUUGUUAUUAAAUGUCUUACCAAGGGCUCAGCCAGUUGUUUCCUGGACUGUCAAAUCGUUCUUUACACUCCAAGUCCGCCAUGUUUGCUUCACUAGGUACGAGGCUUGGCACUCUUGGCCUCACGCACCUAAAACAAAAAUAACAAAAGUUUAUAAUUUAUUUAAUCUGUACAUUAAUGUAUAAUAGAAUGUGUUUGCAUUAAGAUAGAAUAAAAAAAUAUGUUUCUA